Molecule: ribosomal RNA, 420 nt
Filed under: uncultured bacterium
Lineage: Bacteria
Description: bacterial SSU rRNA
Rfam family: Bacterial small subunit ribosomal RNA
Source: RNAcentral
UAAGGAAUAUUGGUCAAUGGACGCAAGUCUGAACCAGCCAUGCCGCGUGGAGGAUGAAGGUCCUCUGGAUUGUAAACUUCUUUUAUCUGGGAAGAAAUGUGCGCUUUCUAGCGUAUUUGACGGUACCAGAUGAAUAAGCACCGGCUAACUCCGUGCCAGCAGCCGCGGUAAUACGGAGGGUGCAAGCGUUAUCCGGAUUCACUGGGUUUAAAGGGUGCGUAGGCGGAACUGUAAGUCCGUGGUGAAAUCUCCGAGCUUAACUCGGAAACUGCCGUGGGUACUGUGGUUCUUGAAUGUUGUGGAGGUUUGCGGAAUAUGUCAUGUAGCGGUGAAAUGCUUAGAUAUGACAUAGAACACCGAUUGCGAAGGCAGCAGGCUACACAAAUAUUGACGCUGAGGCACGAAAGCGUGGGGAUCAAA